Molecule: ribosomal RNA, 137 nt
Filed under: uncultured eukaryote
Lineage: Eukaryota
Description: partial 18S ribosomal RNA
Rfam family: Eukaryotic small subunit ribosomal RNA
Source: RNAcentral
UCGUGAAGUGAUUUGUCUACUUAAUUGCAAUAACAAACGAGACCUUAACCUGCUAAAUAGCCAGGCUAGCUUUGGCUGGUUGCCGGCUUCUUAGAGGGACUAUCAGCUCAAGCUAAUGGAAGUCUAAGGCAAUAACA